GCCAGGCAUGAUAGCAUGUUCCUAUAGUCCCCGCUAUUCAGGAGGCUGAAGUGGGAGGAUCACUUCAGUCCAGUCCAGGAGUUCUGGCCUGUAGUGUGUGAUGCCAACUGGGUGUCUGCACUAAGUUCAGCAUCAAUGUGGUGACUUCCCAGGAGCAGGAGACCACCUGCUUGCCUGAGGAGGGGUGAACUGGCCCAGGUUGGAAACAGAGCAAUGCAAAACUCCCGUGCUGAUCAGUAUUGGGAUCACACUGUGAAGAGCCACUGACCUGCAGCCUGGGAAACAUAUUGAAACCUGCCUCUU
Molecule: unclassified non-coding RNA, 303 nt
Organism: Callithrix jacchus (white-tufted-ear marmoset)
Lineage: Eukaryota; Metazoa; Chordata; Mammalia; Primates; Cebidae
Rfam family: Metazoan signal recognition particle RNA
About the family: The signal recognition particle (SRP) is a universally conserved ribonucleoprotein.
Source: Ensembl